AGCGGUAUCGAAUAAUGGUAAUUCACAACCCUUUGAAGGUUGUUAUAUAGGUUCAAAUCCUAUUACCGCUUCCA
This 74-nucleotide transfer RNA is filed under the name Desulfobacterales bacterium HSG17. RNAcentral describes it as "tRNA-Gln". It matches the Rfam family "tRNA". From Rfam's summary of the family: Transfer RNA (tRNA) molecules are approximately 80 nucleotides in length. Their secondary structure includes four short double-helical elements and three loops (D, anti-codon, and T loops). The record is from RNAcentral. Lineage: Bacteria; Pseudomonadati; Thermodesulfobacteriota; Desulfobacteria; Desulfobacterales.